CAGCCUGUUUCUGAGCUUGUCAUAAGGCCACAGACCAGAAUACGGAUGAGAGGAUACAUGAAGGCAAAAGAGCUGGUAGUGGAUAAAAAACUGCAAGAGUGGUUAGCUUUAACACACAAUUAUGUUUCUUUUUCUAUGUAAUACUCUCCUAUUCAUGUUCAAAAACCACCUCUCUAGCUUUUGCAAGAUAGACCCUCCUCCCUCGUGCCUAUUGAGAAUAAUAUAAUAGGAAAUGCAGUCCGUAUUGUCCGUAACAUGGAUAACUUGGCAAGUCGAACAAUUCUGAUGGAAUAUCGCUGUUAUUGAAAGGUGGAG
Molecule: long non-coding RNA, 315 nt
Organism: Harpegnathos saltator (Jerdon's jumping ant)
Lineage: Eukaryota; Metazoa; Arthropoda; Insecta; Hymenoptera; Formicidae
Exons: 3
Source: RefSeq, a predicted model, not a curated record